This 494-nucleotide ribosomal RNA is filed under the name uncultured bacterium. RNAcentral's name for it is "partial 16S ribosomal RNA". It matches the Rfam family "Bacterial small subunit ribosomal RNA", at positions 28 to 507 of the family's 1533-position model. The record is from RNAcentral.
GACGAACGCUGGCGGCGUGCUUAACACAUGCAAGUCGAACGGUGAAGCGCCUUCCUUUUUGGUGGGUGGGGAUGAGCGGCGAACGGGUGAGUAACACGUUAGUAACCUGCCCCCUUCUACUGGAUAACCGCAUGAAAGUGUGGCCAAUACGGGUUAUUCUGGGACUGUCGCAUGAUGGGACUGGGCGAGAUCUUGUUUCGGUGGGGGAGGGGCUCGCGGCCUAUCAGGUUGGUGGUGGGGAGGUGGCCUACCGAGGCGGUGACGGGUGGCCGGCCAGGGAGGGUCGGCGAUCACGGUGGGGCGGAGCCGCCGCGCAGACUCCUGCGGGAGGCAGCGGGGAGUAAUAGUGCACGGUGGGCGGAAUGCUGAUGCCGCGCCGCCGCGUGGGGGAUGGUCGCCUUCGGGUUGUGAACCUCUUUCGCCAGUGAAGCAGGCCUGCCUAGUUUGUGGGUGGGUUGACGGUAGCUGGAGAAGAAGCGCCGGCUAACUACGUG